RNAcentral lists this ribosomal RNA (253 nucleotides) under uncultured bacterium. RNAcentral's name for it is "partial 16S ribosomal RNA". It matches the Rfam family "Bacterial small subunit ribosomal RNA", at positions 524 to 776 of the family's 1533-position model. The record is from RNAcentral.
UACGUAGGGUGCGAGCGUUAAUCGGAAUUACUGGGCGUAAAGCGUGCGCAGGCGGUCUGUUAAGACAGAUGUGAAAUCCCCGGGCUUAACCUGGGAACUGCAUUUGUGACUGGCAGGCUAGAGUAUGGUAGAGGGGGGUAGAAUUCCACGUGUAGCAGUGAAAUGCGUAGAGAUGUGGAGGAAUACCGAUGGCGAAGGCAGCCCCCUGGGCCAAUACUGACGCUCAUGCACGAAAGCGCGGGGAGCAAACAGG